GACGAACGCUGGCGGCGUGCCUAAUACAUGCAAGUAGAACGCUGAAGAGAGGAGCUUGCUCUUCUUGGAUGAGUUGCGAACGGGUGAGUAACGCGUAGGUAACCUGCCUUGUAGCGGGGGAUAACUAUUGGAAACGAUAGCUAAUACCGCAUAACAAUGGAUGACACAUGUCAUUUAUUUGAAAGGGGCAAUUGCUCCACUACAAGAUGGACCUGCGUUGUAUUAGCUAGUAGGUGAGGUAAUGGCUCACCUAGGCGACGGUACAUAGCCGACCUGAGAGGGUGAUCGGCCACACUGGGACUGAGACACGGCCCAGACUCCUACGGGAGGCAGCAGUAGGGAAUCUUCGGCAAUGGGGGCAACCCUGACCGAGCAACGCCGCGUGAGUGAAGAAGGUUUUCGGAUCGUAAAGCUCUGUUGUAAGUCAAGAACGGGUGUGAGAGUGGAAAGUUCACACUGUGACGGUAGCUUAACAGAAAGGGACGGCUAACUACGUG
This 497-nucleotide ribosomal RNA is filed under the name uncultured bacterium. RNAcentral's name for it is "partial 16S ribosomal RNA". It matches the Rfam family "Bacterial small subunit ribosomal RNA", at positions 28 to 507 of the family's 1533-position model. The record is from RNAcentral.